AAAACGACUCUCGGCAACGGAUAUCUCGGCUCCCGCAUCGAUGAAGAACGUAGCGAAAUGCGAUACUUGGUGUGAAUUGCAGAAUCCCGUGAACCAUCGAGUCUUUGAACGCAAGUUGCGCCCUAAGCCUUCUGGCCGAGGGCACGUCUGCCUGGGUGUCACAAA
Molecule: ribosomal RNA, 165 nt
Filed under: Alyssum cacuminum
Lineage: Eukaryota; Viridiplantae; Streptophyta; Magnoliopsida; Brassicales; Brassicaceae
Description: 5.8S ribosomal RNA
Rfam family: 5.8S ribosomal RNA
About the family: 5.8S ribosomal RNA (5.8S rRNA) is a component of the large subunit of the eukaryotic ribosome. It is transcribed by RNA polymerase I as part of the 45S precursor that also contains 18S and 28S rRNA. Functionally, it is thought that 5.8S rRNA may be involved in ribosome translocation.
Source: RNAcentral